This 499-nucleotide ribosomal RNA is filed under the name uncultured bacterium. RNAcentral's name for it is "partial 16S ribosomal RNA". It matches the Rfam family "Bacterial small subunit ribosomal RNA", at positions 28 to 523 of the family's 1533-position model. The record is from RNAcentral.
GAUGAACGCUAGCGGCAGGCUUAAUACAUGCAAGUCGAACGGUAAAUAUUGAGCAAUCGAUAUGAGAGUGGCGCACGGGUGAGUAACACGUAUGUAACCUACCCUUAACUGGGGAAUAGCUCCGAGAAAUCGGAAUUAAUACCCCAUAACAUCAAGAUAUGGCAUCAUAAAUUGAUUAAAGCUCCGGCGGUUAAGGAUGGACAUGCGGCCCAUUAGCUAGUUGGUGAAGGUAACGGCUCACCAAGGCAUCGAUGGGUAGCUGGUCUGAGAGGAUGAUCAGCCACACUGGCACUGAGACACGGGCCAGACUCCUACGGGAGGCAGCAGUAGGGAAUAUUGGGCAAUGGGCGAAAGCCUGACCAAGCCAUGCCGCGUGCAGGAUUGAAGGUUCUAUGAAUUGUAAACUGCUUUUGUCAGGGACGAAUAAGCUUCUUUCUAGGAGAAUUGACGGUACCUGAAGAAUAAGCACCGGCUAACUACGUGCCAGCCGCCGCGGUAA